RNAcentral lists this long non-coding RNA (680 nucleotides) under Pan troglodytes (chimpanzee). Its description in RNAcentral is "long non-coding RNA NONPTRT000847". The record is from RNAcentral. Lineage: Eukaryota; Metazoa; Chordata; Mammalia; Primates; Hominidae.
GCCGUGGCCGGGUGCGCAGCUAAACGCAGCCCUUUCCUGUAAUCCAGGCACUUGGCGCUCUGAUAUACCCACUUUACAGAGGAGGGCACUGCGGCUCAGAGGCUGGGUCAUCGGCGCCUCAUUUCCUCGGCGGCCAAUUGGGGGCGCCAGAGAGCAGCGGACGCCCCUCCACCGACUUUCCAGCGCUUGGGAGGCGGAGUGAGACGCCCUGGAAUCCCAGCCCUGCCUUUCGCUGGUUGUGAGCUCUUGGCCAUGUUACUGACCUCUCAGAGCCUCAGCGCUGAGUUAAAAUAGAACUGGUGUCCUGAUAAUGGGUGAGGCCCCAGUGGAAUAACGCACGUGAAAUACACAUACUGGGCGUCCACUUAAUUAAGGCCCUAUCCUCAUUGCCUGCCAAGUUCCCAAAAGAGGGAUGGGUUUGGGUGGGAGGUUGAGAGGGGAGGUUCCCGGCCUUUCCAGCAGUGCCCCCUCUGCCGUCUGGGCCUGGCAGAUGCGUGUUGAUCCCAGCGUUUUCUCCAGCGUGCGCUCGCUUGCUAGGUCGACGUGAUCAGUGAGCUUUCUCCGCCCGUGUUAUCCUGAGUGUCCUGAGAGCAGCCCGUUUCUGCCCCUCUUGCGAUUACAAAGUCAAGCCCAGAGCCUGACCCACAGUAGUGCUCAAUAAAGGCUUAGAAAAAGCUCGG